Molecule: long non-coding RNA, 91 nt
Organism: Sphaeramia orbicularis (orbiculate cardinalfish)
Lineage: Eukaryota; Metazoa; Chordata; Actinopteri; Kurtiformes; Apogonidae
Exons: 4
Source: RefSeq, a predicted model, not a curated record
UGGCUACAUCCACCGAAAACAAAGGUUUCUGAAAACUCCGGCCAAAGUGAAAAUUUCUGUAAAUCUCCCUGUUUGUGUUUGCCUGUAGACA